Phyllostomus discolor (pale spear-nosed bat) is the source of this 1486-nucleotide long non-coding RNA. RefSeq lists it as uncharacterized. The transcript has 2 exons. The record is from RefSeq and is a predicted model, not a curated record. NCBI's taxonomy places the organism in Eukaryota, Metazoa, Chordata, Mammalia, Chiroptera, Phyllostomidae.
UUUAGGAGUUUUAGACAUCAGAUGGUAUUAUAUUACAUAUCCUGGACUGCCUGGUUAGAAGGAACACUUUAUUUUGUUCCCAUUUUCUUUUUCUUCCCUUGAAGUUAAUUAAAUAAAUGUUCGCAGUGAUUUAAAAGGUCAACAUGAAGGACAGAUUCUCAAACUAUGUGGCAAUACAAACUAACAUUUACUUGAACCUCACUGGUUAACCUCUUUUUCCUUGAUAAUGAAGGUUUGCAUAGUUGAAUAAAUGCAGUUUUUAAAAAUGAAAUUUUAUGUAUUAGCCCUCCCAAAAAUGGGGAGUUUCUACUAAAGAUUCCCAGCAUUAUCUCAAACCAAUUAAAUCAAAUAUUUAUUAAGUAGCUCAGGUAUUGAUAGUUAAAAGCUUCCAGGUGAUUCUGAUUUUUAGAGUUGAGUAGCAUUGAUGACUUCUUACAAGCUCUAAUAAAAGGUCACCAAAUACAAAGCAGUUUCCCCUAUUUUUAUUCUCAUGUAGUUAUUCCACAGAAUGUUUUAGCAAAAUUAAGUAAGUACAGUGGAACCUUGGUUCUCAAACUUAAUUCAUUCUGGAAAACUGUUCAAGAAGCGAUUUAUUCAACCAAAUCUCCUUAGUCAUUUGAGAGACUUGUGAUUGAUUGUAUAGAUAUCAGCACAAAAGGGUUUUUGGAUUCAGAACCAAGACCAGAAGUUUUGUUAGAUGACUGAGAUUUUCUUCUGUGAACAACUUGGUUGAGAAAUGAAUUGUUCAAGAACCAAGAUGUUCAAGAGCUGAGGCUUGAUAUGAACUUAAAAAGGUAUAGGUGAAAUGGUCAAAGUCUUAUUUUUACUUUGAGUACCCAUAUUCAGGGUCAUGUAGGUAUCUGUUAAUUUAGAAAUACUGCUAUUUUAAAAAGCCACAUUUCAUAAAGCAUACUAUACAUUUUUGAAGUUGACCUCUUUACAGUUUCCAGAUCAAAUAAUCUUGUCUUCAUUUCAAUUGUUUGAGAUUUAGCACUUUUUUCAUAUCAGUGAUUAGUUCUGUUAACCAUCCAUAGCCACAAGUACGGAUUCAUAUAAUAUCCAGACAGUUGUGGUUGUGUGUGUGUGUGUGUGUGUGUGUGUGUGUGUGUGUGUGUGAUCUCCAUGAUACAGUUACUAUAGUGCCUUUUAGCUGUGAUCUUCAAAAGGUACUCAUCACUUGAUGAUUAUGAGGUCAUACUCACAAGAAUAAUGACUGUCAUUAAUUUUCUUUGCCUCCUGUUUGAUUGUCUGUUGACUUUCAUAGCAUUUUAAACAAGCAUUGAUUGAACAUCCUUGCUCUGCCUUGAAUAUCACCAUCAAUGCACCUACCUCAGGACCUUUACAUUUUGCUGUUCCCUCUCUUUCCCCAAUUAGCUGCAUAAUUUACACCUACACUUCUUUCAGAUCUCUCCUAAAAGAUGACCUUAUCAGUGAGGUCUUCUGUGAUUUUUUUUAACCUCUGUGCUUUAGUGUCUUUUUCUUUUUA